GACGACUGUUGCAUCACGCCUCAUUCACUGUCUGCUAACAACUCUUCCUGGUGUCUUGGUCACACUUGCUUCGUUUCAUUUGUAAUGCAGUAAAGGUUUGCCAGCUGCUGACCAUAAACUGAACAGGUAGCUUUGUCUGGUGGCUGGGGGCAGAGCAACGAGGCAGGCUCACUUGUCUUUGACUGGUGUUCCAUCCACCCAGAUCCAAUUUCCCUCCUGAUCCCUGUCAGACAUUCCAAUCCAUGCUGUCUCGGUGAAUCCGAAAGAUACCUGCUCCUGUCUGCUGUUGAUGAUGACCAGAUCAGCAUCCCUCUGCAGACAGUCCUGUCGGCUGUCGUCCCAACUCUUCCUCCGCGUGGAAAAGUAGUAACAGCUGAACCUGAACAGGAGCCAGUCUUUUGGACAGCCCUCCCCUGUCUCAACUGCACAAAGACCAAGUCUCUCUGAAUACACUUGUCAGAUUAAAAAGUUACACAACCCUUAGCAGACCUUGGUCAGUGAGAGAUACAACAUUAGAAUAUUCUUGCAGCAAGAAGAAAAAAUCAUGUUAGUCAUAUACUGCAGUACAUUAUUAUCCGUACAUUAUAGCGAUCUAAUUUAUCUUAUUUAUUGUGUAUUAUGUAAAACUAAGACAUGAAUAACAUCAAAUAAAAAAAAAACACAAAAUGAAUGCCGACCCACCAUCCACCUGUUCAAGUUCCAGCCAAGUUUUUCCAGAGAGAUUAUUACAUCGCUGUUUGACGUGUGUGGAAAAAGGCAGUGUGCUAGCAUGAAUUAACUUGAGACAAAUGUGCACACUAGCACUCAAAAAGUCACUAAAACUUACCUUUAUGCAUUCCCACAUAGUAUCAGCAUUUGACACCAAAUAUGCGGUGAAAGAAAAAUGGUAAAAAUACAGUAGUCGUCGAUCUGUGCGGCAAGAGAUGAAGUUAACGCACGCACAAUGGACAUGCGUCAAGUGAGACGGAUGUAACAGAGAGAAUCCGGCCAGUUUUCAAAAUAAAACAUUAAAAAAAAUUAAAUAAUGGAAAUUAUUUUUUCUUUCUGUGCGGCCCGGUACCAAAUGACCCACGGACCGCUGUUAUACUGUAUAUAGUACACAUGCAGUACGUAUGUAUGCAUAA
Molecule: long non-coding RNA, 1124 nt
Organism: Dunckerocampus dactyliophorus (ringed pipefish)
Lineage: Eukaryota; Metazoa; Chordata; Actinopteri; Syngnathiformes; Syngnathidae
Exons: 4
Source: RefSeq, a predicted model, not a curated record